UUGCAUAUCAAAAAGCGGAGGAAAAGAAACCAACAGGGAUUGCCCUAGUAACGGCGAGUGAAGCGGCAACAGCUCAAAUUUGAAAUCUGGCUUCGGCCCGAGUUGUAAUUUGUAGAGGAUGCUUUGGGCGCGGCUCUAACUGAGUUCCCUGGAACGGGACGCCACAGAGGGUGAGAGCCCCGUAUAGUUAGAUGCCUAGCCUAUGUAAAGCUCCUUCGACGAGUCGAGUAGUUUGGGAAUGCUGCUCUAAAUGGGAGGUAAAUUUCUUCUAAAGCUAAAUAUUGGCCAGAGACCGAUAGCGCACAAGUAGAGUGAUCGAAAGAUGAAAAGCACUUUGAAAAGAGGGUUAAAUAGCACGUGAAAUUGUUGAAAGGGAAGCGCUUGUGACCAGACUUGCGCCGGGCAGAUCAUCCGGUGUUCUCACCGGUGCACUCUGCCCGGCUCAGGCCAGCAUCGGUUCUCGUGGGGGGAUAAAGGUCCCGGGAACGUAGCUCCUCCGGGAGUGUUAUAGCCCGGGGCGUAAUGCCCUCGUGGGGACCGAGGUUCGCGCAUCUGCAAGGAUGCUGGCGUAAUGGUCAUCAGCGACCCGUCUUGA
This 595-nucleotide ribosomal RNA is filed under the name Humicola nigrescens. Its description in RNAcentral is "eukaryotic LSU rRNA". It matches the Rfam family "Eukaryotic large subunit ribosomal RNA", at positions 36 to 657 of the family's 3401-position model. The record is from RNAcentral. Lineage: Eukaryota; Fungi; Ascomycota; Sordariomycetes; Sordariales; Chaetomiaceae.